RNAcentral lists this ribosomal RNA (497 nucleotides) under uncultured bacterium. Its description in RNAcentral is "partial 16S ribosomal RNA". It matches the Rfam family "Bacterial small subunit ribosomal RNA", at positions 28 to 507 of the family's 1533-position model. The record is from RNAcentral.
GAUGAACGCUGGCGGCGUGCCUAAUACAUGCAAGUCGAGCGAACAGAUGAGGAGCUUGCUCCUCUGACGUUAGCGGCGGACGGGUGAGUAACACGUGGAUAACCUACCUAUAAGACUGGGAUAACUUCGGGAAACCGGAGCUAAUACCGGAUAAUAUAUUGAACCGCAUGGUUCAAUAGUGAAAGACGGUUUUGCUGUCACUUAUAGAUGGAUCCGCGCCGCAUUAGCUAGUUGGUAAGGUAACGGCUUACCAAGGCAACGAUGCGUAGCCGACCUGAGAGGGUGAUCGGCCACACUGGAACUGAGACACGGUCCAGACUCCUACGGGAGGCAGCAGUAGGGAAUCUUCCGCAAUGGGCGAAAGCCUGACGGAGCAACGCCGCGUGAGUUAUGAAGGUCUUCGGAUCGUAAAACUCUGUUAUUAGGGAAGAACAAAUGUGUAAGUAACUAUGCACGUCUUGACGGUACCUAAUCAGAAAGCCACGGCUAACUACGUG